Molecule: ribosomal RNA, 432 nt
Filed under: uncultured bacterium
Lineage: Bacteria
Description: partial 16S ribosomal RNA
Rfam family: Bacterial small subunit ribosomal RNA
Source: RNAcentral
AACGAGCGCUGGCGGCAUGCCUAACACAUGCAAGUCGAACGAGACCUUCGGGUCUAGUGGCGCACGGGUGCGUAACGCGUGGGAACCUGCCCUUAGGUUCGGAAUAACUCCCCGAAAGGGGUGCUAAUACCGGAUAAUGUCUUCGGACCAAAGAUUUAUCGCCUUUGGAUGGGCCCGCGUUGGAUUAGCUAGUUGGUAGGGUAAAAGCCUACCAAGGCGACGAUCCAUAGCUGGUCUGAGAGGAUGAUCAGCCACACUGGGACUGAGACACGGCCCAGACUCCUACGGGAGGCAGCAGUGGGGAAUAUUGGACAAUGGGCGAAAGCCUGAUCCAGCAAUGCCGCGGGAGUGAUGAAGGCCUUAGGGUUGUAAAGCUCUUUUACCCGGGAUGAUAAUGACAGUACCGGGAGAAUAAGCUCCGGCUAACUCCGU